This 403-nucleotide long non-coding RNA is filed under the name Rattus norvegicus (Norway rat). Its description in RNAcentral is "long non-coding RNA NONRATT032754". The record is from RNAcentral. Lineage: Eukaryota; Metazoa; Chordata; Mammalia; Rodentia; Muridae.
CUUUCAUCUCACGUCAUGCCAUGCAGGGUGACUGGCACGGGUGCCCAAGGAUAACACUACUACCUUCCUGUCACAGUGGCAGAUGCCUGCCAACCAGCACCGAGGAACGAAUUGCUGAUACAAGUGAAUUGAAUUUGUGUAUCACACCCAAGAGCAUGACCGGAAAGUAUCCUGUUAGAGUUCAGAAUUGCUCUUCAGUGAGAAGACGAGGAGAAAAGGUAGGAGAUGAAGCUUUGAAAGAAAAAAAAAGUCAGAGCCACUAGUAAGGGGGUGAGGAGUUUUAUCUUUCUAAAUCUUGCUAGGAGAACAGAAUAGGUGACUGGAUCCUGGUAUAGCAGAUAGAGUGAAGAUGGAGUGGGCAAAGGCAGUGAGAAGCCCAUAGCCUAGUCAGCACUUACUACUG